UUGCUUCUCUUGAGAGCGGCGGACGGGUGAGUAAAGCCUAGGAAUCUGCCUGGUAGUGGGGGAUAACGUUCGGAAACGGACGCUAAUACCGCAUACGUCCUACGGGAGAAAGCAGGGGACCUUCGGGCCUUGCGCUAUCAGAUGAGCCUAGGUCGGAUUAGCUAGUUGGUGAGGUAAUGGCUCACCAAGGCGACGAUCCGUAACUGGUCUGAGAGGAUGAUCAGUCACACUGGAACUGAGACACGGUCCAGACUCCUACGGGAGGCAGCAGUGGGGAAUAUUGGACAAUGGGCGAAAGCCUGAUCCAGCCAUGCCGCGUGUGUGAAGAAGGUCUUCGGAUUGUAAAGCACUUUAAGUUGGGAGGAAGGGCAUUAACCUAAUACGUUAGUG
Molecule: ribosomal RNA, 390 nt
Filed under: uncultured Pseudomonas sp.
Lineage: Bacteria; Pseudomonadati; Pseudomonadota; Gammaproteobacteria; Pseudomonadales; Pseudomonadaceae
Description: bacterial SSU rRNA
Rfam family: Bacterial small subunit ribosomal RNA
Source: RNAcentral